Molecule: long non-coding RNA, 226 nt
Filed under: Elaeis guineensis (African oil palm)
Lineage: Eukaryota; Viridiplantae; Streptophyta; Magnoliopsida; Arecales; Arecaceae
Description: long non-coding RNA (EGUI_LNC050216)
Source: RNAcentral
AUGGGUCAUCCCAUUUUGUUCUAAUCUAAUUUUUCAUGCAUUGAAGGUUCGGAAUUUAUCAGAACACUUUCAAAUGUUCUCAAAUGGAUUCAAAUCAAUUUGGACACUCUCAAAAGCCUUCAAAAACUUCUCCAACUUGCUGAAACUUCAACUUUUGACAUACUUGAUAAAGCUUUUCAAACUUAAUCUCUUGGACUACCUGAAACAUCACAAAAAUAAUCUCCAA